CCCUUAGAUGUUCUGGGCCGCACGCGUGCUACACUGAGUGGAUCAGCGGGUCAGGUUGCGCGAAAGUGUUUCCUAAUCUUGAAAUCCGCUCGUGAUGGGGAUUGACGGUUGCAAUUUUCCGUCAUGAACGAGGAAUACCUUGUAAGCGCGGGUCAUCAUCCCGCGCUGAAUACGUCCCUGCCCUUUGUACACACCGCCCGUCGCUCCUACCGAUUGAGUGGUCCGGUGAGGCUUUGGGAUCUGAACAAAAAGAGCGUUUCGCUCGUUUGGCUCGGAAAACUCAGUCGAACCUUAUCAUUUAGAGGAAGGAGAAGUCGUAACA
Molecule: ribosomal RNA, 322 nt
Filed under: uncultured eukaryote
Lineage: Eukaryota
Description: partial 18S ribosomal RNA
Rfam family: Eukaryotic small subunit ribosomal RNA
Source: RNAcentral